GUUCUUUUCGUUCCAGACUGUGCAUUUAUGAUUGAUAGACCAAUGGAUGUCUGGGGUGCACCUUUGGAAGUGGAGGUUUUACUUCAUGGAUGUUUAAAAAGUUGUAUAAAUUUAAUGGAAUUAAGCCGUGAAGAUCACGUUAGUAGAUUAUUAGACCAGAGACUUAUUCUUACUAGUCAAUGGGUUGAGGAUUUAAAAAGUUUUCUUUUAAAGCAUUACUGGGUUACAAGCCAAACAAUGCAAAUUUUAAGAAGAAGGCCAACAGAACAAUACGGUGAUGACCAACAUUUUAAUGAAUUUAAUGUUCAACCACAGGUAGUCCCUUCAUGGCUUCAAGACUGGUUAGAGAACAGAGGUGGAUACUUAAUAGGCAAUAUUAGGACCGGUAGACCUGACUUUAGAUUUUAUAGCUUAGGGAAUUCUUUAGCAUGCAUGUUUGGAGUCCUCCCAUCUGAAGAACAAAGAGCACUUUUUAGACUAGUGCUUCACAACAGACAACAUCUUAUGGCACAAAUGCCGAUGAGAAUAUGUCACCCUCAUAUGGAUGUAGAGGAGUGGCAGAAUAAAACAGGUUCAGAUCCAAAGAACUGGCCUUGGAGUAUGUGGUUUAAUUCGAUGCAACGCGAAGAACCUUACCAGGGUUUGACAUCCUGAGAACCUCUUAGAAAUUUGAGGGUGCCUUCGGGAAUUCAGUGACAGGUGGUGCAUGGCUGUCGUCAGCUCGUGUCGUGAGAUGUUGGGUUAAGUCCCGCAACGAGCGCAACCCACGUUUUUAGUUGCCAGCAUUUAGUUGGGCACUCUAGAAAGACCGCCGGUGAUAAACCGGAGGAAGGUGUGGAUGACGUCAAGUCAUCAUGCCCCUUACACCCUGGGCUACACACGUACUACAAUGCUACGGACAAAGGGCAGCAAACUCGCGAGAGCUAGCAAAUCCCAUAAACCGUGGCUCAGUUCAGAUCGUAGGCUGCAACUCGCCUACGUGAAGUAGGAAUCGCUAGUAAUCGCAGGUCAGCAUACUGCGGUGAAUACGUUCCCGGGCCUUGUACACACCGCCCGUCACACCAUGGAAGUUGGCCAUGCCCGAAGUCGUUACUCCAACCCUUGUGGAGGAGGACGCCGAAGGUGGGGCUAAUGACUGGGGUGAAGUCGUAACAAGGUAGCCGUACCGGAAGGUGCGGCUG
This 1181-nucleotide ribosomal RNA is filed under the name Prochlorococcus sp. AG-335-L06. Its description in RNAcentral is "bacterial SSU rRNA". The stretch from base 540 to 1181 matches the Rfam family "Bacterial small subunit ribosomal RNA", at positions 874 to 1520 of the family's 1533-position model. The record is from RNAcentral. Lineage: Bacteria; Bacillati; Cyanobacteriota; Cyanophyceae; Synechococcales; Prochlorococcaceae.